RNAcentral lists this ribosomal RNA (120 nucleotides) under Pteropus alecto (black flying fox). Lineage: Eukaryota; Metazoa; Chordata; Mammalia; Chiroptera; Pteropodidae. The record is from RNAcentral.
GUCUACGGUCAUGCUACCCUGAACAAGCCCAAUCCCGUCUGAUCUUGGAAGCUAAGCAGGGUUGGUGCCUAGUUAGUACUUGGAUCGGAGACCACCUAGGAAGACCAGGUGCUGUAGGCG